Molecule: unclassified non-coding RNA, 198 nt
Filed under: rhizosphere metagenome
Description: partial ribosomal RNA internal transcribed spacer region
Source: RNAcentral
GUAGGUGAACCUGCGGAAGGAUCAUUACCGUAGGGCUUCGGCCCUGUCGAGAUAGAACCCUUGCCUUUUUGGGUACCUUUCGUUUCCUCGGCAGCCUCGGCUGCCAAUGGGGACCCCAAAAAACACUUUACAGUACCUGUAACAGUCUGAACAAACAAACAAAAAUUAAAAUUUUCAACAACGGAUCUCUUGGUUCUG